CCUACGGGGUGCAGCAGUGGGGAAUAUUGGACAAUGGGCGAAAGCCUGAUCCAGCCAUGCCGCGUGUGUGAAGAAGGCCUUCGGGUUGUAAAGCACUUUCAGUGGGGAAGAAAGCCUUGGGGCUAAUACCCUCGAGGAAGGACAUCACCCACAGAAGAAGCACCGGCUAACUCCGUGCCAGCAGCCGCGGUAAUACGGAGGGUGCGAGCGUUAAUCGGAAUUACUGGGCGUAAAGCGCGCGUAGGCGGUCUGAUAAGCCGGUUGUGAAAGCCCCGGGCUCAACCUGGGAACGGCAUCCGGAACUGUCAGGCUAGAGUGCAGGAGAGGAAGGUAGAAUUCCCGGUGUAGCAGUGAAAUGCGUAGAGAUCGGGAGGAAUACCAGUGGCGAAGGCGGCCUUCUGGACUGACACUGACGCUGAGGUGCGAAAGCGUGGGUAGCAAACAGGAUUGGAUACCCGGGUAGUC
This 465-nucleotide ribosomal RNA is filed under the name Vreelandella stevensii. RNAcentral describes it as "partial 16S ribosomal RNA". It matches the Rfam family "Bacterial small subunit ribosomal RNA", at positions 338 to 795 of the family's 1533-position model. The record is from RNAcentral. Lineage: Bacteria; Pseudomonadati; Pseudomonadota; Gammaproteobacteria; Oceanospirillales; Halomonadaceae.